Molecule: ribosomal RNA, 468 nt
Filed under: uncultured bacterium
Lineage: Bacteria
Description: partial 16S ribosomal RNA
Rfam family: Bacterial small subunit ribosomal RNA
Source: RNAcentral
GACGAACGCUGGCGGCGUGCUUAACACAUGCAAGUCGAACGGAAAGGCCCUGCUUUUGUGGGGUGCUCGAGUGGCGAACAGGUGAGUAACACGUGAGUAACCUGCCCUUGACUUUGGGAUAACUUCAGGAAACUGGGGCUAAUACCGGAUAGGAGCUCCUGCUGCAUGGUGGGGGUUGGAAAGUUUCGGCGGUUGGGGAUGGACUCGCGGCUUAUCAGCUUGUUGGUGGGGUAGUGGCUUACCAAGGCUUUGACGGGUAGCCGGCCUGAGAGGGUGACCGGCCACAUGGGGACUGAGGUACGGCCCAGACUCCGACGGGAAGCAGCAGUGGGGAAUAUUGCACAAUGGGCGGAAGCCUGAUGCAGCAACGCCGCGUGCGGGAUGACGGCCUUCGGGUUGUAAACCGCUUUCGCCUGUGACGAAGCGUGAGUGACGGUAAUGGGUAAAGAAGCACCGGCUAACUACGUG